RNAcentral lists this ribosomal RNA (253 nucleotides) under uncultured bacterium. RNAcentral's name for it is "partial 16S ribosomal RNA". It matches the Rfam family "Bacterial small subunit ribosomal RNA", at positions 524 to 776 of the family's 1533-position model. The record is from RNAcentral.
UACGUAGGCAGCAAGCGUUGUUCGGAGUUACUGGGCGUAAAGAGUGCGUAAGCGGUCUUUUAAGUUUGGUGUGAAAUCUCCCGGCUCAACUGGGAGGGUGCGCCGAAAACUGGGAGGCUUGAGGAUGGGAGAGGCAUGCGGAAUUCCUGGUGUAGCGGUGAAAUGCGUAGAUAUCAGGAGGAACACCUGCGGUGUAGACAGCAUGCUGGACCAUUUCUGACGCUGAGGCACGAAAGCGUGGGUAGCAAACAGG